This 253-nucleotide ribosomal RNA is filed under the name uncultured bacterium. RNAcentral describes it as "partial 16S ribosomal RNA". It matches the Rfam family "Bacterial small subunit ribosomal RNA", at positions 524 to 776 of the family's 1533-position model. The record is from RNAcentral.
UACGGGGGGGGCAAGCGUUGUUCGGAAUUACUGGGCGUAAAGGGCUCGUAGGUGGCCAACUAAGUCAGACGUGAAAUCCCUCGGUUUAACCGGGGAACUGCGUCUGAUACUGGAUGGCUUGAGUUUGGGAGAGGGAUGCGGAAUUCCAGGUGUAGCGGUGAAAUGCGUAGAUAUCGGUAGGAACACCCGUGGCGAAGGCGGUCUCCUGGGACGUUCUUGACGCUGAGGCGCGAAAGCUGGGGGAGCGAACGGG